CAUCACAUCACUCUUCAUCAUCUACAGAACAGUACGAGAUUACGAGUCCUGACCUUCGAGAAAGUAGUUCUGUGCCUCACACUCCUACUGCGAAUGACUUACCUGGAGGUGUAAGUGCUCCACAGCUUGAAUCUUAUGAUUCAUCAAGGCGACUCAUCAUCGAGCCUGCGGGAUACGGUUGGUUACCGGAAAAAGCUUCAACUCUCCUUACAGAUGAGAUACAAAAACUAUUUAAAGACUCAUCUACUUGGGGCCAAACGUCACCAAAUCGCUAGAGACAGAUCUAUUAUGCCUUUAAGGUAUAUGCUUAUUUUUAUUUAAACAAUCCACUUAUAUUGAUCGAUUCCUUAUUAAUAAACUCAUUUACUUUUCGUUGCAGGAAAAAUGUUACUGGCGCCCGGAACAUGAGAAGCAGCUAACUCAAAACUUCAAGAAGAAAGCUCAGCGCUUACUAUGUGACAUGUUAGGAAGGGUUCGUCAAUCUCACAAGAAGCCUAAGUCGAUCCUUCCUGAAAACUAUAACAAGCUACUUCGUUACUGGGCAACUAAUGACGAUUCUUACAACUGAGUGACAUAGGGAAGAAGGCUAGAAAUUCGACGAAGGGUGGCUCCCUACACACUAGUGGGGCUAUGAGUCAAGAGGCCGUGAGGAGGAAGCUGGCAAGUCUACAUUAACUCUACUUAAAGGAUUGUGAAUUGACUUUAUUUUCUUUAUGUCUUAUCAAUUUAUUCUUUUGCAGGAACUAAAACGGGGAAUGCCAGUGCCUCAAGAUGAGGCAUUCAAGAUCACUCACGUGAAGAAGAAGGCAAAUGUUAAUGAUCCAGAUCACUGGUGUGAGGAACGGGCUAAGCAGACCUACGUAAUGAGAAGUGCAUUUUUCUUGCUGAAAAGUACUUCAACCUGCUACUGAUUUUGUACUUUAAGUUCUAGACUUGCAGGUUUGUAUUAAGUCCAUAACACAACAGAGAGUUUCUGCAUUUUUAGCUGUUUCAUUUAGUUUUUAAAUUACUUAAAGUCCAAAGUUAAUCUGGACCUGGGGUGCAAAGAUGAAUUUCGGUGAUAAUAUAUAUUAUGGAGUCCAAUGUAGAUUUCCAAAUGCAAGACGAAGCACAAAGGUUGGCUUUCACUGAAUGCAAGUUGAUAUUGAAGGAAAGUCGAAAAUUGUUAGCAGUAUUGAUUUGUUUUCCUUUUAGUAGUAUUGAUCUCAACCAUGUUUUAGUUGAAUUGUUAGUAGUAUUGAUUUGAACCAUGUUCUAUUUUGGUUGUUUACUAAAUGUUUGAUAGUUUUUUCUAUUGAAUUCGAGAUUUAAGUUGGUUGCUAAUGUUACCUUU
Long non-coding RNA from Lycium ferocissimum, 1333 nucleotides. RefSeq lists it as uncharacterized. The record is from RefSeq and is a predicted model, not a curated record. NCBI's taxonomy places the organism in Eukaryota, Viridiplantae, Streptophyta, Magnoliopsida, Solanales, Solanaceae. The transcript has 3 exons.